GAUGAACGCUGGCGGCGCGCCUAACACAUGCAAGUCGAACGGCACCCCUCUCCGGAGGGAAGCGAGUGGCGAACGGCUGAGUAACACGUGGAGAACCUGCCCCCUCCCCCGGAAUAGCCGCCCGAAAGGACGGGUAAUACCGGAUACCCCGGGGUGCCGCAUGGCACCCCGGCUAAAGCCCCGACGGGAGGGGAUGGCUCCGCGGCCCAUCAGGUAGACGGCGGGGUGACGGCCCACCGUGCCGACAACGGGUAGCCGGGUUGAGAGACCGACCGGCCAGAUUGGGACUGAGACACGGCCCAGACUCCUACGGGAGGCAGCAGUGGGGAAUCUUGCGCAAUGGGGGGAACCCUGACGCAGCGACGCCGCGUGCGGGACGGAGGCCUUCGGGUCGUAAACCGCUUUCAGCAGGGAAGAGUCAAGACUGUACCUGCAGAAGAAGCCCCGGCUAACUACGUGCCAGCAGCCGCGGUAAUACGUAGGGGGCGAGCGUUAUCCGGAUUCAUUGGGCGUAAGCGCGCGUAGGCGGCCCGGCAGGCCGGGGGUCGAAGCGGGGGGCUCAACCCCCCGAAGCCCCCGGAACCUCCGCGGCUUGGGUCCGGUAGGGGAGGGUGGAACACCCGGUGUAGCGGUGGAAUGCGCAGAUAUCGGGUGGAACACCGGUGGCGAAGGCGGCCCUCUGGGCCGAGACCGACGCUGAGGCGCGAAAGCUGGGGGAGCGAACAGGAUUAGAUACCCUGGUAGUCCCAGCCGUAAACGAUGGACGCUAGGUGUGGGGGGACGAUCCCCCCGUGCCGCAGCCAACGCAUUAAGCGUCCCGCCUGGGAGUACGGCCGCAAGGCUAAAACUCAAAGGAAUUGACGGGGGCCCGCACAAGCAGCGGAGCAUGUGGCUUAAUUCGAAGCAACGCGAAGAACCUUACCAGGGCUUGACAUAUGGGUGAAGCGGGGGAGACCCCGUGGCCGAGAGGAGCCCAUACAGGUGGUGCAUGGCUGUCGUCAGCUCGUGUCGUGAGAUGUUGGGUUAAGUCCCGCAACGAGCGCAACCCCCGCCGCGUGUUGCCAUCGGGUGAUGCCGGGAACCCACGCGGGACCGCCGCCGUCAAGGCGGAGGAGGGCGGGGACGACGUCAAGUCAUCAUGCCCCUUAUGCCCUGGGCUGCACACGUGCUACAAUGGCCGGUACAGAGGGAUGCCACCCCGCGAGGGGGAGCGGAUCCCGGAAAGCCGGCCCCAGUUCGGAUUGGGGGCUGCAACCCGCCCCCAUGAAGUCGGAGUUGCUAGUAAUCGCGGAUCAGCAUGCCGCGGUGAAUGCGUUCCCGGGCCU
This 1325-nucleotide ribosomal RNA is filed under the name uncultured bacterium. RNAcentral's name for it is "bacterial SSU rRNA". It matches the Rfam family "Bacterial small subunit ribosomal RNA", at positions 28 to 1381 of the family's 1533-position model. The record is from RNAcentral.